Long non-coding RNA from Scleropages formosus (Asian bonytongue), 1027 nucleotides. RefSeq lists it as uncharacterized. The transcript is spliced from 4 exons. NCBI's taxonomy places the organism in Eukaryota, Metazoa, Chordata, Actinopteri, Osteoglossiformes, Osteoglossidae. The record is from RefSeq and is a predicted model, not a curated record.
UUUCCAGUGGCAAACUAAACUGCUUAAGCUCCUCAAAACCACAUGGCUCACUUUGCUUUGGCCCGGUUCCAGAGUCCUGUUCCAUUUCCGCACCUCUUUCCGAUCCAGGGAUUGCGUCACAUUCAAACACAAGACAAAGACGAGGUAAAGUGGAGCAAGAACAUUGCAUUCUACACUACGGGCAAAUGCAUAUCUUGAUGUAAUUGGAGGAACAAGUGAAGGAGAGAGAAGGAGGCUGGAAUGGCGGGGAGGAGGAAGGGUGCAGGAGGGAGAGAACAAUGCAAGUGAGCCUUGGAAAGGAGCUCGCGAAUCCUCUGAGGAACUGCGGUCUCAGGUUUUACUGCAGAUGAAUGGAAUACCUGUGGCGGGAAGAAAGGCGGAUAACACAAAGAGGCAGAUGAAGAUUCAUAUUAAUAUAAAAAAGGAAAUGUCGACCUCAGAGAGAAAACAGAGCAGAAACUACGGCAAACGAAGAAACAGUGAAAUGGUGUUUCCGCUGGCCGUACCUCAGGGGAGGAAGCGCUUUCAUUUAUCCUUGUGACCCUGGAUCAUAACAUGUCCCCACAGCCCGGUGCAAUUACAGCACCAGCAGCAGGUCCGGACAAAGCGGUUUCCCGAAGGCAGGAUAGCCGAGGCCCAGGUGCUUCCAGCCCCGGCCGCAGACUUUGGCUCUAGCGUCUUCACACUUAAUUGUCAGAGAGGGGCCUCGAACCAUCAUCGAGUCUCACACACACACACGCACACACGCACACACACGCCUUUCCAAAUGCAGACGUUCACUGCUAUUGUUGUUUCUCUCCCUAUUUGUUUGUGCACCGGAAGCCCUUUAAACUACAUUUAACAACAUUCUGUAGGAAGCGCUGAGCCAAAAAUUCUGUAUUUUCGACUAUGUAUGGGUGGAAACUUGCUGAAACGGUUCAGGCUCUAUGCCUUGUCGCAGGAAUCUCAGAACGUUUGUUCAGAAAGCCCGGGCUAUGCAAUUGACUUGUAAUGUUGAGCUACUUACAAUUAUUUAGCCAUCUAUAUA